This 398-nucleotide unclassified non-coding RNA is filed under the name uncultured Inocybe. RNAcentral's name for it is "sequence contains ITS2". The stretch from base 1 to 154 matches the Rfam family "5.8S ribosomal RNA". The record is from RNAcentral. Lineage: Eukaryota; Fungi; Basidiomycota; Agaricomycetes; Agaricales; Cortinariaceae.
AACUUAUGACAACGGAUCACUUGGCUCUCGCAGCGAUGAAGAACGCAGCGAAAUGCGAUAAGUAAUGUGAAUUGCAGAAUUCAGUGAAUCAUCGAAUCUUUGAACGCAUCUUGCGCCCCUUGGUAUUCCGAGGAGCAUGCCUGUUUGAGUGUCAUUUGACCUUCUCUCAACCAUAUCAGUCAAUGAUGUGGCUUGGAUGUGGGGUUGCAGGCUUCCGAGUAUGAAAGUCCAGCUCCCCUGAAAUGCAUUAGUGGUAUCUGUCUGAGCUGCUAUUUGGUGUGAUAACUUAUCUAUGCCUUUUUGGUGAUCAGCACCGCUUAUAACCAUCGAUUUGACAAAUUUGACCUCAAAUCAGGUAGGACUACCCGCUGAACUUAAGCAUAUAAUAAGCGGAGGCU